RNAcentral lists this transfer RNA (66 nucleotides) under Euceros kiushuensis. RNAcentral's name for it is "tRNA-Ser". Lineage: Eukaryota; Metazoa; Arthropoda; Insecta; Hymenoptera; Ichneumonidae. The record is from RNAcentral.
AGAUAAUGAACUUGAAUAAGUAUAUGUUUUGAAAACAUAAUAUAGAAAUAAAUAUUCUAUUAUCUU